RNAcentral lists this ribosomal RNA (253 nucleotides) under uncultured bacterium. RNAcentral's name for it is "partial 16S ribosomal RNA". It matches the Rfam family "Bacterial small subunit ribosomal RNA", at positions 524 to 776 of the family's 1533-position model. The record is from RNAcentral.
UACGAAGGGUGCAAGCGUUGUUCGGAUUCACUGGGCGUAAAGGGUGCGCAGGUGGGUUUGCAAGUUCGAUGUGAAAGCCCCGGGCUUAACCCGGGAAUGGCAUUGGAUACUGCAGAUCUGGAGGAUCGGAGGGGGGACUGGAAUUCUUGGUGUAGCAGUGAAAUGCGUAGAUAUCAAGAGGAACACCAGUGGCGAAGGCGAGUCCCUGGACGAUACCUGACACUGAGGCACGAAAGCUAGGGGAGCAAACAGG